AAGUUUAGGUUAACCCAAACUUAAAACCAAGGACCUUCAAAGCCCUAAAUAGGGGCCCAACCCCUAACUUCUG
This 73-nucleotide transfer RNA is filed under the name Goggia gemmula. RNAcentral's name for it is "tRNA-Trp". The record is from RNAcentral. Lineage: Eukaryota; Metazoa; Chordata; Lepidosauria; Squamata; Gekkonidae.